RNAcentral lists this ribosomal RNA (74 nucleotides) under Ptychodera flava. RNAcentral describes it as "partial 5.8S ribosomal RNA". It matches the Rfam family "5.8S ribosomal RNA", at positions 88 to 154 of the family's 154-position model. From Rfam's summary of the family: 5.8S ribosomal RNA (5.8S rRNA) is a component of the large subunit of the eukaryotic ribosome. The record is from RNAcentral. Lineage: Eukaryota; Metazoa; Hemichordata; Enteropneusta; Ptychoderidae.
AUCAUCGACACUUCGAACGCACAUGGCGGCCCCGGGUGCCUUUCCCGGGGCCACGCCUGACUGAGGGUCGUUUU